AACGCGAAGAACCUUACCUGGGUUGAACUACGCAGGAAAAGCUGUAGAGAUACAGUGUCCGAAAGGGCCUGCGAUAGGUGGUGCAUGGCUGUCGUCAGCUCGUGUCGUGAGAUGUUGGGUUAAGUCCCGCAACGAGCGCAACCCUUGUCCUAUGUUGCCAGCGGGUUAUGCCGGGGACUCAUAGGAGACUGCCGGGGUCAACUCGGAGGAAGGUGGGGACGAAGUCAAGUCAUCAUGCCCCUUACGUCCAGGGCUGCACACAUGCUACAAUGGCCGGUACAAAGGGCUGCUAUUCCGCGAGGAUGAGCGAAUCCCAAAAAGCCGGUCUCAGUUCGGAUCGUAGUCUGCAACUCGACUACGUGAAGUCGGAGUCGCUAGUAAUCCCGGAUCAGCAACGCCGGGGUGAAUACGUUCCCGGGCCUUGUACACACCGUAGUAC
Molecule: ribosomal RNA, 439 nt
Filed under: uncultured bacterium
Lineage: Bacteria
Description: bacterial SSU rRNA
Rfam family: Bacterial small subunit ribosomal RNA
Source: RNAcentral